RNAcentral lists this transfer RNA (67 nucleotides) under Marmota monax (woodchuck). RNAcentral describes it as "tRNA.Ala". Lineage: Eukaryota; Metazoa; Chordata; Mammalia; Rodentia; Sciuridae. The record is from RNAcentral.
GGUUGUGGCUCAGAGGAAAAGCGCUCGCCUAGCAUGUGUGAGGCACUGAGUUCAAUCCCCAGCACCA